This is a long non-coding RNA of Apus apus (common swift), 1720 nucleotides long. RefSeq lists it as uncharacterized. The transcript has 3 exons. The record is from RefSeq and is a predicted model, not a curated record. NCBI's taxonomy places the organism in Eukaryota, Metazoa, Chordata, Aves, Apodiformes, Apodidae.
GCAAAAAUCAUAUCUUCCUGUAUAAUUUUAGCAGGUAUAUAGAGAUGUAUAGUCCAGUAUAGAGACUCUAUUUGUCUUCUGCAUAUAAGGAGUCUUUCAUACAGGCAGGCUGGAGACAAAGGCCAGCUCACCAAGGAAACCAGGAUAUAUGUAUUCUGAUAAGGAAAAGGAUCUCCUUCAGAGGAUGCCUAAAAAGUGCACUUUUGGCAUAACUGUAAUUUCUGCUGACAACAAAGUAUCAAGGUCAUAUGGUCUUAACAUUGUCUUCCCCAUGGACUGUAUCUUCUAGGUUGCAGUGCAUAAUUAUAGCUUAGUCAUUUGUGGUCCUUGCCCAGCUGCUCCCAGUCUUCUCCAGUUCACCCAUCAUGGAGGGACACUGGCCUCCUGAUAGGGGACUGCUGCCCUCCCCUUGACUGUGGCAAUUCUCUGUGUUACUUUGUGUCAGGGCUUCUUUUCCCACUCCUAGUAAAUAAAUCCCUCUCUGUUCUGCUUGAUUAAUGUAUUUUUUCCCAAACAAAUAAGUUGUUUCUAGGAAGUUUUCUGCCUUAUUGGAGUCUUUUAGCAUGGUUGACAUGCUGCUUUGAGAUUCUUGCUGGAGAAAGCAUUGCUGAAUUUGUGGAAAAAAACCUUGUCCACUGGGAACACCUGAGGGAGACAAAGCAACAUUCUGAGCUAAAGUUAAAAGUAAACCAAAACCUAAUGCAACAUGGAAAAGAGAGAAUGGGUACCAAUAGAAGACGAAUCCAGAAUCUUUUUGACAGUAUUUUUAAGAAGUAUGUGCUAAGGUGAGCCCCUAACUCCUGACAGACCUGAAACUGACUGAAAAACAGUGAGCACCAUUUGAAAUCUGCCUGCCAAAGAAAGUGCAAAACUUCACCUACAAGUUAAACGGGAAGGAGUUGCUGCAGGAUGAUGAGUAUGAAAUAAUCACAUCUGAUGAUGGAUUUGCUCACACUAUGAAAAUUAAGGGUGUUCUGUCCACAAACUUUAAAGAACUCAGUGUUGAAAUGCCAAUCUAGUGCAGAACACUCUUCAUUGAUCAUAAGUAAUGCAAAGUAAGCAUCUUUGUGUGGAUCAAACGCAAGAUAGCAGGGUUUGAGCUGCAAAAUCCAUAAAACUAAAACAAAAACCCCCAGAGCUUGGACUGAAAAUAAUGGAAGCCAGUCUAGCUGGCUAGACUGUGGAUGAGCAAGCAGAGGAGCAUCGAGACCUCUUUUUCACACUGGAAAGAAAGUCCCAAGCCUGGAACCUCUCCUGCCCAUGUUGUAUCCUGCAAAGGCAAAGCCACCUGUUUUUAUUUAUAAGGUGCUUGCUGGUAUUUGCCAUUUUUUCUUGCCAAUCCCUUUUUUAGGACUUUAAAAUCUGUUCUCAGCAAUCUCAAGAAUACCCAAGUGAAGAAGAGAAAAGCCUGCCUAGAGUGUGUGCUGACUUCUGAAGAUGUCACCCUGAGGGGGAUGUAGAAUUGAGACGUCUCCUCAGUACAUCAUGAAGCAGAGAGCAGAGCUUAUCCUUAAUGCUGCUGAGCUGAGUGACUCAGGAGAUGGCCCCAACAGUCAUAGGCUAUGAAGACAGUGACCCUAAUGGAGCAAUACAGUUGUGCCAGUGUAAUUAUCAAAAGGAAGUGUGAAUGGCUCAAGAGAGGACAAGCAGGUGGAACAGUAGUCUUAACUCUGUUCUUCAGUGAACUCUGCAGAGGAGCAGUGCUGCAUUCCUGGAACAG